CCCUUAGAUGUUCUGGGCUGCACGCGCGCUACACUGAUGCGCUCAACGAGUUUAUGACCUUGCCCGGAAGGGUUGGGUAAUCUUUUCAAAACGCAUCGUGAUGGGGAUAGAUUAUUGCAAUUAUUAAUCUUCAACGAGGAAUUCCUAGUAAGCGCGAGUCAUCAGCUCGUGCUGAUUACGUCCCUGCCCUUUGUACACACCGCCCGUCGCUCCUACCGAUCGAGUGAUCCGGUGAAUAAUUCGGACUGCGGCAAUGUUCAGCUCCUGAAUGUUGCUGCGGAAAGUUUAGUGAACCUUAUCACUUAGAGGAAGGAGAAGUCGUAACA
Molecule: ribosomal RNA, 326 nt
Filed under: uncultured eukaryote
Lineage: Eukaryota
Description: partial 18S ribosomal RNA
Rfam family: Eukaryotic small subunit ribosomal RNA
Source: RNAcentral